AUUGAACGCUGGCGGCAGGCCUAACACAUGCAAGUCGAGCGAGCGGCGGACGGGUGAGUAAUGUAUGGGGACUGCCCGAUAGAGGGGGAUAACUACUGGAAACGGUAGCUAAUACCGCAUACUAUCGGAUAACCCAUAUGGGAUUAGCUAGUAGGUGGGGUAAUGGCUCACCUAGGCGACGAUCCCUAGCUGGUCUGAGAGGAGGAUCAGCACAGUGGGGACUGAGACACGCCCAAGACUCCUAGGGGGGAAGGAGUGGGGAAUAUUGGCAAAUGGGCGCAAGCCUGAUGCAGCCCUGCCGCGUGGAUGAAGAAGGCCCUAGGGUUGUAAAGUACUUUCAGUCGGGAGGCGUUACCGACAGAAGAAGCACCGGCUAACUCCGUGCCAGCAGCCGCGGUAAUUC
Molecule: ribosomal RNA, 403 nt
Filed under: uncultured bacterium
Lineage: Bacteria
Description: partial 16S ribosomal RNA
Rfam family: Bacterial small subunit ribosomal RNA
Source: RNAcentral